AUUGAACGCUGGCGGCAGGCCUAACACAUGCAAGUCGAACGGUAGCACAGAGAGCUUGCUCUCGGGUGACGAGUGGCGGACGGGUGAGUAAUGUCUGGGAAACUGCCUGAUGGAGGGGGAUAACUACUGGAAACGGUAGCUAAUACCGCAUAACGUCGCAAGACCAAAGAGGGGGACCUUCGGGCCUCUUGCCAUCAGAUGUGCCCAGAUGGGAUUAGCUAGUAGGUGGGGUAACGGCUCACCUAGGCGACGAUCCCUAGCUGGUCUGAGAGGAUGACCAGCCACACUGGAACUGAGACACGGUCCAGACUCCUACGGGAGGCAGCAGUGGGGAAUAUUGCACAAUGGGCGCAAGCCUGAUGCAGCCAUGCCGCGUGUAUGAAGAAGGCCUUCGGGUUGUAAAGUACUUUCAGCGGGGAGGAAGGUGUUGAGGUUAAUAACCUCAGCAAUUGACGUUACCCGCAGAAGAAGCACCGGCUAACUCCGUG
RNAcentral lists this ribosomal RNA (488 nucleotides) under uncultured bacterium. RNAcentral's name for it is "partial 16S ribosomal RNA". It matches the Rfam family "Bacterial small subunit ribosomal RNA", at positions 30 to 507 of the family's 1533-position model. The record is from RNAcentral.